AAUUCUAGAGCUAAUACAUGCUAAAAGCCCCAACUUCGGAAGGGGUGUAUUUAUUAGAUAAAAAACCAAUGCCCUUCGGGGCUCCUUGGUGAUUCAUAAUAACUUAACGAAUCGCAUGGCCUUGUGCCGGCGAUGGUUCAUUCAAAUUUCUGCCCUAUCAACUUUCGAUGGUAGGAUAGUGGCCUACCAUGGUUUCAACGGGUAACGGGGAAUUAGGGUUCUAUUCCGGAGAGGGAGCCUGAGAAACGGCUACCACAUCCAAGGAAGGCAGCAGGCGCGCAAAUUACCCAAUCCCGACACGGGGAGGUAGUGACAAUAAAUACUGAUACAGGGCUCUUUAGGGUCUUGUAAUUGGAAUGAGUACAAUUUAAAUCCCUUAACGAGGAACAAUUGGAGGGCAAGUCUGGUGCCAGCAGCCAGCGGUAAUUCCAGCUCCAAUAGCGUAUAUUAAAGUUGUUGCAGUUAAAAAGCUCGUAGUUGAAUCUUGGGCCUGGUUGGCCGGUCCGCCUCACCGCGUGCACUGGUCCGACCGGGUCUUUCCUUCUGGGGAACCGCAUGUCCUUCAUUGGGUGUGUUGGGGAACCAGGACUUUUACUUUGAAAAAAUUAGAGUGUUCAAAGCAGGCCUAUGCUCGAAUACAUUAGCAUGGAAUAAUAGAAUAGGACGUGUGGUUCUAUUUUGUUGGUUUCUAGGACCGCCGUAAUGAUUAAUAGGGAUAGUCGGGGGCAUCAGUAUUCAAUUGUCAGAGGUGAAAUUCUUGGAUUUAUUGAAGACUAACUACUGCGAAAGCAUUUGCCAAGGAUGUUUUCAUUAAUCAGUGAACGAAAGUUAGGGGAUCGAAGACGAUCAGAUACCGUCGUAGUCUUAACCAUAAACUAUGCCGACUAGGGAUCGGGCGAUGUUAUCUUUUUGACUCGCUCGGCACCUUACGAGAA
This 935-nucleotide ribosomal RNA is filed under the name Hymenoscyphus waikaia. Its description in RNAcentral is "SSU rRNA". It matches the Rfam family "Eukaryotic small subunit ribosomal RNA", at positions 154 to 1096 of the family's 1831-position model. Lineage: Eukaryota; Fungi; Ascomycota; Leotiomycetes; Helotiales; Helotiaceae. The record is from RNAcentral.